AUAAGACAGCAGCAUAUUUUUACCUUUCCUUUUUUAUCAUUUCAUUUCAGACAUUGUGAGUACAACUUUGUGGAAAUUAAAAUGCUUCUCCUGGUUCCAAUAAUAAAAUUCCAAUGAAAAUGUGGGAUCCUACCUUCAUCAUGUCAUCUUUUGGCCCAUACUGAAAUUUAAGGGACUUUUCUGAACUCUAUUUCUAAUUAAUGAAAGGUAAGGCUUUUAAUGAAAAUAAUAACUACCUUUUAUAAGGUAGUUAUUUAUACCUUAUAAAUAAAAUAUAAAAGUAUAUAUAGUUAUAUACUUAUAUAUAUAACAGUUAUAAUCUAUGUUUGUAAUAUAUAUAAUAUUUAUAAAUUGUAUUUACUAUAUGUAUAAUACAAACAAUAUAAUAUUUAUACACAUGCACAAAAUAUAUACAAGGCAUACCCUCAUGGA
This 432-nucleotide long non-coding RNA is filed under the name Pan troglodytes (chimpanzee). Its description in RNAcentral is "long non-coding RNA NONPTRT014183". The record is from RNAcentral. Lineage: Eukaryota; Metazoa; Chordata; Mammalia; Primates; Hominidae.